GAUGAACGCUGGCGGCGUGCCUAAUACAUGCAAGUCGAGCGAACGGACGAGAAGCUUGCUUCUCUGAUGUUAGCGGCGGACGGGUGAGUAACACGUGGAUAACCUACCUAUAAGACUGGGAUAACUUCGGGAAACCGGAGCUAAUACCGGAUAAUAUUUUGAACCGCAUGGUUCAAAAGUGAAAGACGGUCUUGCUGUCGCUUAUAGAUGGAUCCGCGCUGCAUUAGCUAGUUGGUAAGGUAACGGCUUACCAAGGCAACGAUGCAUAGCCGACCUGAGAGGGUGAUCGGCCACACUGGAACUGAGACACGGUCCAGACUCCUACGGGAGGCAGCAGUAGGGAAUCUUCCGCAUUGGGCGAAAGCCUGACGGAGCAACGCCGCGUGAGUGAUGAAGGUCUUCGGAUCGUAAAACUCUGUUAUUAGGGAAGAACAUAUGUGUAAGUAACUGUGCACAUCUUGACGGUACCUAAUCAGAAAGCCACGGCUAACUACGUG
RNAcentral lists this ribosomal RNA (497 nucleotides) under uncultured bacterium. RNAcentral's name for it is "partial 16S ribosomal RNA". It matches the Rfam family "Bacterial small subunit ribosomal RNA", at positions 28 to 507 of the family's 1533-position model. The record is from RNAcentral.